CUAAUACAUGCAAGUCGAGCGCGGGAAGCAAACUGAAUCCUUCGGGAGGACGUUUGUGGAACGAGCGGCGGACGGGUGAGUAACACGUGGGCAACCUGCCUGUAAGACUGGGAUAACUCCGGGAAACCGGGGCUAAUACCGGAUGAUACUUCGUACCGCAUGGUACGGAGUUGAAAGAUGGUUUACGCUAUCACUUACAGAUGGGCCCGCGGCGCAUUAGCUAGUUGGUGGGGUAACGGCUCACCAAGGCGACGAUGCGUAGCCGACCUGAGAGGGUGAUCGGCCACACUGGGACUGAGACACGGCCCAGACUCCUACGGGAGGCAGCAGUAGGGAAUCUUCCGCAAUGGACGCAAGUCUGACGGAGCAACGCCGCGUGAGUGAUGAAUGUCUUCGGAUUGUAAAACUCUGUUGUUAGGGAAGAACAAGUACCGUUCGAAUAGGUCGGUACCUUGACGGUACCUAACCAGAAAGCCCCGGCUAACUACGUGCCAGCAGCCGCGGUAAUACGUAGGGGGCAAGCGUUGUCCGGAAUUAUUGGGCGUAAAGGGCGCGCAGGCGGUCUUCUAAGUCUGAUGUGAAAGCCCACGGCUUAACCGUGGAAGGUCAUUGGAAACUGGGGGACUUGAGUGCAGAAGAGGAGAGUGGAAUUCCAUGUGUAGCGGUGAAAUGCGUAGAGAUAUGGAGGAACACCAGUGGCGAAGGCGA
This 708-nucleotide ribosomal RNA is filed under the name uncultured bacterium. Its description in RNAcentral is "bacterial SSU rRNA". It matches the Rfam family "Bacterial small subunit ribosomal RNA", at positions 48 to 724 of the family's 1533-position model. The record is from RNAcentral.